CUUAAAUUGAAGAGUUUGAUCAUGGCUCAGAUUGAACGCUGGCGGCAGGCCUAACACAUGCAAGUCGAGCGGUAGCACGGGGGAGCUUGCUCCUUGGGUGACGAGCGGCGGACGGGUGAGUAAUGUCUGGGAAACUGCCUGAUGGAGGGGGAUAACUACUGGAAACGGUAGCUAAUACCGCAUAACCUCGCAAGAGCAAAGAGGGGGACCUUCGGGCCUCUCGCCAUCAGAUGUGCCCAGAUGGGAUUAGCUAGUAGGUGAGGUAAUGGCUCACCUAGGCGACGAUCCCUAGCUGGUCUGAGAGGAUGACCAGCCACACUGGAACUGAGACACGGUCCAGACUCCUACGGGAGGCAGCAGUGGGGAAUAUUGCACAAUGGGCGCAAGCCUGAUGCAGCCAUGCCGCGUGUGUGAAGAAGGCCUUCGGGUUGUAAAGCACUUUCAGCGGGGAGGAAGGCGGUAAGGUUAAUAACCUUAUCGAUUGACGUUACCCGCAGAAGAAGCACCGGCUAACUCCGUGCCAGCAGCCGCGGUAAUACGGAGGGUGCAAGCGUUAAUCGGAAUGACUGGGCGUAAAGCGCACGCAGGCGGUCUGUUAAGUUGGAUGUGAAAUCCCCGGGCUUAACCUGGGAACUGCAUUCAAAACUGACAGGCUAGAGUCUUGUAGAGGGGGGUAGAAUUCCAGGUGUAGCGGUGAAAUGCGUAGAGAUCUGGAGGAAUACCGGUGGCGAAGGCGGCCCCCUGGACAAAGACUGACGCUCAGGUGCGAAAGCGUGGGGAGCAAACAGGAUUAGAUACCCUGGUAGUCCACGCUGUAAACGAUGUCGAUUUGGAGGUUGUGCCCUUGAGGCGUGGCUUCCGGAGCUAACGCGUUAAAUCGACCGCCUGGGGAGUACGGCCGCAAGGUUAAAACUCAAAUGAAUUGACGGGGGCCCGCACAAGCGGUGGAGCAUGUGGUUUAAUUCGAUGCAACGCGAAGAACCUUACCUACUCUUGACAUCCAGAGAAUUUGCUAGAGAUAGCUUAGUGCCUUCGGGAACUCUGAGACAGGUGCUGCAUGGCUGUCGUCAGCUCGUGUUGUGAAAUGUUGGGUUAAGUCCCGCAACGAGCGCAACCCUUAUCCUUUGUUGCCAGCGAUUCGGUCGGGAACUCAAAGGAGACUGCCGGUGAUAAACCGGAGGAAGGUGGGGAUGACGUCAAGUCAUCAUGGCCCUUACGAGUAGGGCUACACACGUGCUACAAUGGCGUAUACAAAGAGAAGCGACCUCGCGAGAGCAAGCGGACCUCAUAAAGUACGUCGUAGUCCGGAUUGGAGUCUGCAACUCGACUCCAUGAAGUCGGAAUCGCUAGUAAUCGUAGAUCAGAAUGCUACGGUGAAUACGUUCCCGGGCCUUGUACACACCGCCCGUCACACCAUGGGAGUGGGUUGCAAAAGAAGUAGGUAGCUUAACCUUCGGGAGGGCGCUUACCACUUUGUGAUUCAUGACUGGGGUGAAGUCGUAACAAGGUAACCGUAGGGGAACCUGCGGUUGGAUCACCUCCUUACCAAGAAG
Molecule: ribosomal RNA, 1553 nt
Filed under: Pectobacterium brasiliense
Lineage: Bacteria; Pseudomonadati; Pseudomonadota; Gammaproteobacteria; Enterobacterales; Pectobacteriaceae
Description: bacterial SSU rRNA
Rfam family: Bacterial small subunit ribosomal RNA
Source: RNAcentral